Molecule: non-coding RNA, 267 nt
Organism: Phascolarctos cinereus (koala)
Lineage: Eukaryota; Metazoa; Chordata; Mammalia; Diprotodontia; Phascolarctidae
Source: RefSeq, a predicted model, not a curated record
CUCUCUCAUGCCGCCCCCCUCCGCCUUUCCUCCGGCUCAGCGGUGACAAUGGAGGGAAUCGGCAGAAGGCAAUGUGGCAAACUGAAUAGAAGGUCAACCGCUAAUUCAAGAAAACCUCCUUCAAGGCCUCCCUUUGUUUCUAUGCAACUCUAGUUUGCAGAGCAAGGCAGAAGGAGGAACCAUGGAGAAUCCUUUGAGGGACUUGUGACCUUGAUGCAGACAUGUCCAAGAAAAUAGGAGAUGGUUGUCAUCAGACAGGGCAAGGCC